RNAcentral lists this ribosomal RNA (487 nucleotides) under uncultured bacterium. RNAcentral describes it as "bacterial SSU rRNA". It matches the Rfam family "Bacterial small subunit ribosomal RNA", at positions 15 to 518 of the family's 1533-position model. The record is from RNAcentral.
GAUUAUGGCUCAGGACGAACGCUGGCGGCGUGCCUAACACAUGCAAGUCGAGCGAUGAAACCCUUCGGGGUGGAUUAGCGGCGGACGGGUGAGUAACACGUGGGUAACCUGCCUCAUAGAGGGGGAUAGCCUCCCGAAAGGGAGAUUAAUACCGCAUAAUGUAUUUUUGUUCGCAUGAAUGAAAUAUCAAAGGAGUAAUCCGCUAUGAGAUGGACCCGCGGCGCAUUAGCUAGUUGGUGAGGUAAGGGCUCACCAAGGCGACGAUGCGUAGCCGACCUGAGAGGGUGAUCGGCCACAUUGGAACUGAGACACGGUCCAGACUCCUACGGGAGGCAGCAGUGGGGAAUAUUGCGCAAUGGGGGAAACCCUGACGCAGACCAACGCCGCGUGAAUGAUGAAGGCCUUAGGGUUGUAAAGUUCUGUCUUCUGGGACGAUAAUGACGGUACCAGAGGAGGAAGCCACGGCUAACUACGUGCCAGCAGCAGC